UACGGAGGGUGCGAGCGUUGUCCGGAAUCACUGGGCGUAAAGGGCGCGUAGGCGGCUUGGGAAGUCUGUGGUGAAAGCUCGUGGCUCAACUGCGAGUCGGCCAUAGAUACUCCUAAGCUCGAGUCGACUAGAGGCAGAUGGAAUUCCGGGUGUAGCGGUGGAAUGCGUAGAGAUCCGGAGGAACACCUGUGGUGUAGACGGCUUUCUGGACCGUAGCUGACGCUGAGACACGAAAGCGUGGGUAGCAAACAGG
Molecule: ribosomal RNA, 253 nt
Filed under: uncultured bacterium
Lineage: Bacteria
Description: partial 16S ribosomal RNA
Rfam family: Bacterial small subunit ribosomal RNA
Source: RNAcentral